Molecule: long non-coding RNA, 10323 nt
Filed under: Salvia miltiorrhiza (redroot sage)
Lineage: Eukaryota; Viridiplantae; Streptophyta; Magnoliopsida; Lamiales; Lamiaceae
Description: long non-coding RNA (SMIL_LNC002462)
Source: RNAcentral
GUUUAUGGGGAAACAGACCGAUAUGACCGGAGGUAACUUUGCGCUAUUGCCGUUUGGGUCGGGCAGGAGGAUAUGCCCGGCAUACAACCUCGGCCUUAAGAUUGUUCGAACAACGUUGGCUAAUCUGUUGCAUGGAUUUGAGGUGGAAUUGGAGGAGGGCAUGAGGGCUGAGGAUGUAAGCUUAGAGGAACAGUACGGACUCGCCACAAAUCCAAAACACCCUGUUUCCAUCAUUGUGAAACCUACACUUCCUGCCCAUCUAUACUAAAUUAGUUUCUCAGUAAUUGCUAAAUACUUUCAUCAACAAUUCAAGAUGAUAUAUAUGGAUAUCUUGUGUUUGUGUGUACACAUAUAUAUGUGAAUUAUAUUGAUGAUAUAUGAAUGGCCCAGAUUUGGUGAAAUCCAGCUUCCCCUAUAUUUUGCAGUUGAGAUAUGCAUGUCUUUCAAUUUCAUUAGGAAUUAUGUUAUGUGUAUAUAUCUUUUUUGUUUNGUUUCCACCCUCCGACGCCGCUUACAGCCUGGAGUCACCGCAUACUCCAGCCUGCCUUUCUCUCUAUUUCAAUUCGCUUAUCAUUCUAUUUUGCUAUUCCGAUACUGACUUGAGCGUCGGAGGCUCUACGGUCGACACCCCCACCCGGUGCUCAACCUAGGGCUCUUACGUGUUCUUGUGUUGACAGGUUGCUAGUGCCCAAACUAUCCGGACGUGCAGACGUCAACUUCAAUUGUAGAUUUUAGCCUCUACAAUAACUAUAAAAUUGUCAUUUAAUUUUGAAAGUGAUUCUCAAUUGAAAGUUGUUUUUUUAAUGUAUUAUAGAUCAUAGAUUAUAGAUAUAGAUAUAGGUUAAUAAUUUACAUUACACGUACCCUCCAGCUGGACAAAAUCAACGCUACAAGUUGUAGAUCAAAAAGAAAGAGUAGUUACCAAUACAUUUCACGCGAUAAACUACAUUUUUUUGUUUAGACAUUGGAAUAGAAAAUUCAACAUUUUCUCCGAGGAAAAUCUCGUUUUCUUACUCCAUUUACAACAAAUGUCACAUCCCACAGUUGAAGUCUAUUUUUCUAAAUUACAAAUCACCCAAAACAAAAAAAUAUUUUUCACUCUGUUUUAGCCAAUACCGACCUCGCUACGCAGCAAACAUGUGUACAGUAAAAUAAAAUAAACACAGAGAGAGACUAUAAGUAUCCAAUAUUUCGUGAACAAAAAAUAAACGCAGUUAAACCCACAACUUCUCUGCAAAACAUCCAGCAUCACAUUUUCACUCACAAAUGGAAAAUCCCUGGUUACUAUUAGCCCUACUUUCCGCCCUUGCAAUAGCCUUCAUCUCAAAGAUAGUAUUCAAAACUGAUCAAAAACUCGGGCCGCCCGGUCCAAAACCAUGGCCUAUAAUAGGCAAUCUGAACCUUCUUGGCUCAAUCCCACAUCAAUCCCUCCACCAUUUAUCCCAAAAAUACGGCGAAAUAAUGUUACUAAAGUUGGGAAAAUUUCCAGUGGUGGUGGCAUCAUCACCCAAGAUGGCCGAGCAGUUCCUCAAGGUGCACGAUGCAGCCUUCGCGUCGAGGCCUCCCGCACUUGCCGCCGGCAAGCACAUCAGCUACGACAACUCUGACGUGUCCUUCUCUCCCUACGGCCCAUACUGGCGAGAAGCGCGUAAAAUAUUGAUGUCGGAGCUCUUGGGCACCAAAAAACUGGACCAGUUUGAGCAAAUUCGCGUUGAGGCGAGGCGUUCUUUCUUCUCACGUCUCAAAGCCCUGUCGGGGAAGCCGGUUGUGCUCAGAGAGCAUCUAUCGCGUUACAUUAUGUCGACAAUUUGUAGGAUGGUUAUGACGAAUGAAUAUGUUGGCGAUAGCUCUAUUAUAGAUGAUGGUGGCAUGGCGGAGAUGAUGCGCGACUGGUUUGUGCUCACUGGAGUGUUCAAUAUCGGGGACUGGAUACCGUGGCUCGGCCCUCUUGAUCUGCAGGGCUACGUUAGGAGAAUGAAGGCUUUCCGCAAGAAAUCAGACAGUUUUUUUGGGUAUGUGAUUGAUGAUCACAUAGCUAGAAGAAGAGACGGCGCCGACAAAGAUUUUGUUGAUGCCUUGCUAGAUUUAGCUGAGGAUCCAAAUGCUCAACUUCAUCUCACAAGGGACUCUCUCAAGUCAUUGAUAAUGGUACUAGUUUCUCACAUUUUUUAUUUUUAAUUCACCAUUUUUCAAAGCUAGACUGUUUCAUGUAUAACUGCACUCUCUCUACAUAUAUUAUUGUAGAACGUUGUACUUGGCGGCCCAGACACCUCAAUCACAACAGUGGAAUGGGCCUUACACGAAAUGUUCAGACAACCGCGCAUAUUUGAGAGAGCGAGGGCAGAGCUAGAUGCAGUGAUCGGCAGGGAUAGAUGGGUGGAGGAGAAUGACUUCACUCAGUUGCCGUACGUUGAUGCCAUCAUCAUGGAGACAUUCCGCUUGCAUCCAAUUGCUACGCUUUUAGCUCCCCAUUACGCGAUUCAGGAUUGCAACGUUGCAGGUAUAAGAGAUUAGUUUCUUACACAUGCAUUUAUAUACCAAGUAUGAGACGUAACACAAAAAUAUUGCAGGAUACAACAUAUCAAAAGGGACGAGCAUCCUCAUAAAUACAUGGAGCAUAGGCAGGGAUCCCAACACUUGGGAUGCGGCUGAGGAAUUCUUGCCGGAGAGGUUUAUGGGGAAACAGACCGAUAUGACCGGAGGUAACUUUGCGCUAUUGCCGUUUGGGUCGGGCAGGAGGAUAUGCCCGGCAUACAACCUCGGCCUUAAGAUUGUUCGAACAACGUUGGCUAAUCUGUUGCAUGGAUUUGAGGUAGAAUUGGAGGAGGGCAUGAGGGGCGAGGAUGUAAGCUUAGAGGAACAGUACGGACUCGCCACAAAUCCAAAACACCCUGUUUCCAUCAUUGUGAAACCUACACUUCCUGCCCAUCUAUACUAAAUUAGUUUCUCAGUAAUUGCUAAAUAUUUUCAUCAACAAUUCAAGAUGAUAUAUAUGGAUAUCUUGUGUUUGUGUGUACACAUAUAUAUGUGAAUUAUAUUGAUGAUAUAUGAAUGGCCCAGAUUUGGUGAAAUCCAGCUUCCCCUAUAUUUUGCAGUUGAGAUAUGCAUGUCUUUCAAUUUCAUUAGGAAUUAUGUUAUGUGUAUAUAUCUUUUUUGUUUUUUUGAGAACCAUGCAUUAUGUAUAUUAAUUACAUGAGCAUCUGUCGAUUUCUCCAUUUAACUAUAAUGAAUACUAUUUGACCUUUGUUCCUUCCUAUAGGCUACAACUAGUGGCGGCUCAAUAUUUUUGGAUAUGCUUAGGUGGCUAAAGAAAUAGGGUCUACUAUAUAUAAUAUAUUAAUUAAUUCAUGACUAAAUUAAAUUGCUUUUUUUAGAACCCUUAUUUGAGGCUAUUAUUAUUAAAAUAAGAUUUUAUUCAAAGAAGAAAAGGAAGAAGGAACCUAAAAUCCUUGAAAGCACAGGAAAGAGACUAAAGGUCAAGCCUCGUUAAAACCUCUCAGAGCGAGAGGAAAAAGAGUAUUCGUCUAGAAAAUCAACAAAAAUGAUAAACGCAGACAGAAGAAAAGUGAGAAUACUUCAGGAACUCCGACCAAACCGUCGCGCCCUAGUAGACCCUGCAUUUCCCGAGCCGAAAUAAUAAAGGAACAGAGACCUCGAAGGCUCGAACUAAAGAACUUAUAAUAUAACAAAGCAGCGCAACGACAACUAACCAAGUACCCCGCAAUUAAACCACAACCCUUCAAUCAAGCAAAUUAAUUAAUCAUUAAUUUAUUGUAUUUAAAUAAUAUUAAUUAAUUAAUAGUAUAUAGUUAAUUAAUAAUUAUAUAAGAGUUAAUUGUUUUAGUUAAAUAAGAGUAAAUAAAUAAAAUUUAUAGGGGCACGUUUCGGCCUUCCGCCACCGAAUAAAUAUUAGUAUUUGAUUUAAAAUAGUGUAUAAUAAUAAUAUUAUCAUCUUAAUGAAUAUAAUAUUAAAUUUAGUGAGUAUUUUAUAUAGUAAUAAUUAAAUACGUAUAAUAAUAAUUAAAUUUAUAGAUUGUAAAGCAAAUAAUUGAAGUCAAUCUCAUUUUGAGAAAAUAACACUAAACCAUCAAUAUAAAAAAAUUAAUAGCCACCAUUUAAUAUAAUAAUUUGAGCUCUUAAAAUUUCAAAUUAUGUUAUUAAUUAUUAUAAAUUUAUAUUUAAAUAGCCCAAAAUUAAUUUAAAAAUCAAGAAAAAUACGAAUAAUAUAAAGACAAAAUAUAACAACAAAUAUGUUUAUAUAAACAAAUAAAUAAAAUUGUAAACAUGAUUUAUUUAAUAUUUUAAAUUCUAAUUUUUAGAUAUAUAACUAAUUUUUUAUUUACAAAUUCAUGUUAAAAUUAAUUCAAUUCUUGUCAUUAAUUGCAUAAAAAACUAUUACUAUAAUUUAAAAAUAUUAAAUUUAAAAUAAUUAUAAUUAAGGAAUUUUGUAAACUCUUUUGAAAUGAAAAAAAUAUCUUCUAGUUACUCUUUCACCAACAAAAGAAAACAAAAAAAAAAUAUGAUGUUCAACAUAGAGAUAAAUGGGAUAAAACAAAAAUUAAUUUUGACACUUUAAACGAUCAUAAUUUAUUCGCUGCAAAUUUAUUGUUAAAUAUUUUUACAUCGAAUUAAAUAUCUUCUCGUAAUCUUUUAUUUUAAAUCCAUAUUGAACAUUUUUUCAUGAAUCGAAGUUAACAAUUAAAAAAAAAGAAUCAAAGAGAAGAAGAAAAAGAGAGAAAAAAUUGAUGGGAAAUUUUUAAGAGAAAAGAGAAAAUUUGAAGGUAAAAAAAUUCAUCUUUUAUACCUCAUCCGUCCACGGAAGAACUUUGUACUUUUCCUUUUUGGAACGUCCACAAAAGAACUUCAUAUCUAUUUUUGGACUAUAUCCCACAACUUAUAAAUAUUUCAUUGAUCUUUAUUUUUCACAUUUUCUCCACUCUAAUCAAUACUAAUUAAAGCAUACUUUCAUCAUUCGCAAUAAUACACUCAACAAUAUUUUCUCGACUCUCAAUACACUCAGUCAGAGACGGAUUCACAACUCCUAGUACGGGGCCACGUGCCCCAUAAUUUUAUUUUAUUUUAUUAUAUUAUAUAUAUAUAUAUAUAUAUAUUAAUUUUAUUAUAGGGUUAAGUAUCAAAUAAGCCCCUAUUAUAGUGGCCCUUAUCACGUUUGGCUCCCUAUAGUCGAAGUUGGUCCAAUUAAACCCUCAUACUACCUAAAAUCGAACAAUUGGGCUCUCUGCCCUAACGGUAACUUAACAACUGUUAACUAUUUUUAAUUUUUUAGUGUGUAAGAAUUCAAAAAAAGAAAAGAAAAAAAAACGCUGAAAGCUAGAAAUUUACACGCAAUUAACGCUUUAUCUAGAACUAUAAGCAAAACUUUGAUUACACUUCACCACAAAUUUAACAUCUUUAAUUUUUUUUUCUUUGGCAGUUCCAAAUAGCCAAUACCAACCUCCUACAUAAUAACGUGUACUAAUAAAAUAAAAAGUGGAAGAUCCCUAAUUAAGGUUACGGUUUAAAAUUAAGGUCUGAUGGGGACGCAUUUUUUCUGAUUCCGCACGAACUUUCAUUUCUCAAUUAAUUUGCUCUUAUGUUUUUAAUCCAGCAAGAGAAGAGCUAUUCGAAGGUUCAGCUGUCCAAGUGUCAUACUCCCUCCGUCCCAAAUGAAAUGUCCUGUUUUCCUUUUUGGACUGUCUCAAACGAAAUGUCCUGUUUCGUUUUUUGGCAAUACACUUUCUCUCUAUACUUAAUAUUUAAAUAAUUUCCACCAACUCACUUUAUCUACUUUAUAUACAUUUCUUAAUCUCCGUGUCGAAAAGAAAUGAGACAUUUCGUUUGGGACGGAGGGAAUAUUUACUUUAAAACUCUUGACAUAUAUAGAUCCCACAAAUAAAUGCAUAAACUAGCAACUUCUCUUCAACAACUAUUCAUUCACAAAUGGAGAGUUCCUGGUUACUGUUAGCCCUGGUUUCUGCACUUGCAAUAUCCCUGAUUUCAAAGAUGUUCAAAACUCAACCACGGCCGGAGCAGAAACUCCGGCCACCCGGUCCAAAACCAUGGCCUAUAAUAGGCAAUUUGAACCUUGUUGGCUCACUCCCACACCAGUCCCUUCACCAUUUAUCCCAAAAAUAUGGCGAAAUAAUGCUACUAAAAUUCGGAAAUUUUCCAGUUGUGGUUGCAUCAUCGCCUGAGAUGGCCAAACAGUUCCUGAAGGUGCACGAUGCAGUCUUCGCCUCAAGGCCUGCACUGGCCGCCGGCAAACACAUCAGCUACAAUUACUCCGACGUAUCCUUCGCCCCCUACGGCCCCUACUGGCGAGAAGCGCGUAAAAUAUUCUUGUCCGAGGUGUUGAACGCUAAAAAACUCGAAACUUCGGAGCAGAUUCGCGUUGAGGAGAAUCGCCGUUUCCUCUUACGUCUGCUGGGGAAGCCGGUCGUGCUCAGAGACCAUUUAUCGCGUUACACUCUAUCAACGAUAUGUAGGAUGCUAUUCAGAGACGAGCUCUUUAGUGAAUCCAAGUUGCGAGAAAUGAUGAGAGAGUGGUUUCUUCUCAGUGGAGCGUUCAAUAUCGGUGACUGGAUUCCGUGGCUCAACUUCCUCGAUCUGCAGGGAUACGUGAAGAGGAUGAAGAGCUUACGCGCUGAAAUGGAUUGCUUUUACGACACUCUCAUUGAUGAUCACUUAGCUACAAGAGCUGCUGCCCAGAAAGAUUUUGUAGAUGUUUUGCUGCGGAUAGUUGACGAUCCUGACGCUCAAGUGGAACUCACCAGGGAUUGUGUCAAGGCGUUGACAAUGGUAUGCUACUACUUUCACAUCAAUAAUUACUAUUACCAAGGAAAGGAUUACUUCACAUAAAAACCACAUUAUAAAAAUUCUCAACACCUUGCACUUAUAUAUUAUUUUAAUUGCAUUAUUAAACUUAUAAAAUAAUUGCCCAGAACCCGUGGUUCUCGCUUCAAAUCCUAUGAAGGGCCCAAGUUACUUUGUAGGUUAAUUAAGGGGUAUUUAUUUUGUAUGAUUGAAUAUUUUUAUUUUCGAGAUUAAGAUUAAUUCUUCAAUUUCUCUAUUAAUGUGAUAUAAAUCAAGCAAAAGUACGUAGCUUAAAUGGUUGAAUUAACCAAUGGUUAUAGGAGGGGUGGGCUACUGUGAGAGCACAUCUUAAAAUAAGAAAUAAGAGCAAUUUUUAAUGUAUGAAUUUUAUGUAUAAUACGUAUGAAUUCGCUGUAUAAAGGUAUGGAUUGCAAAAAAUAAAUUUUUGCUACAUUUGGGAUUUGAACUGAGGACCAUAAAUCCAUCCAAGAGGAUUACGAAUCAACCGUAGAUCUUGAUGAUCUAAGGUCUGAAAAAGAUUCAUAUUUUAUAUCUUAAGAAAUGCUCUUAUUUUAGCCCUGACCGGGAUAUCUCAAAGUUCCAAUACAUCUAACUUAACAAGUGAUUAGUCUUCUGUCAAAGUUAAUACUCACAAGUAAACGCCCCUUACGUUAAGUGCAAAAGUGACAAAUCUUAAAAAAAUCGAGUUUUCGCUAUUAUCCAAAUCAUAAAAUAACUUUCAAUAAUAAUCAAUUUAAUAAUUUAAUAUAAAUUAUAGAGGCAAAUAUUAAAAUAAUCAUUUUAUUUUAGCAAAGGUUAAUAAUAACCAUAAAAAUAAAAAUAUAUCAAUUAUAAACACUCUUAUCUAAAUAUCCUUGUAUUAUUUUAUUUUAAUAUUUAUUAAUAAUUUAAAAUUUAUUUUAAUAGAAUUGAAACCUAAAAAGAGAAAAAGAAAAAUAACUCCCCACAAAUUCCCGUCCACUAGCUUCACAGUUUCCCAAACCUAGGCCCUCAUCCCUUUCUAACUAGCUCGCGCAGCCGGACAAGCGAGUCGUCGAGUUUCCGUCUCAAUCGUCGCCGCCCAACAGCUCUGUAUUACACCUCACUGGAAACCCCUGACCCUGAGCCCAAGCUUCGUCCCCUCAGACACUGACGCUGACACCGCACCUCUAGCGACGCGUCUCAACGACGCCAAAAUCCCACCGCCGUACAAUGUCGGCAUUUAGCUUAAGGGGAUGGUGGUUGGAGGGAUAGCGGUGGGAUAGAGGUAAUUGGCCGAGAAGAAGAAGUAGAUAGCAACGUGAUUUAGAAACUUGCAGAGAAGAAGAAUGGGGGUUGCCAUAAACUUAGACGAAGCUUGCAGAGAAGAAGGGGAUGAGAAAUUGAGGAGGGGUAACUAGUCAACGUAGGGGUUGAUUUUCUCAUUUUUUAGUUUUUCUGUAUACAUUUUAUUUUUUAUUAGUAUAAUUUUAUUGAGGAUAAAUUAGUCUAUUUACAUAAAAAGUGAUUAUAAUUAGUAUAGUAUGUUUUUAUUUCUAUGGUCAUUAUUAAUUUUUUACUAAAUAAAGUGGUUAUUUAUUACUAUUAACCCUUAAACGGUUAAACCUAAUCACUUUUUGUGUAAAUAUACUACUUUACCCUUAAUGAAAAUAUAAUAAAAAAUAAAUAAAAUAAAAAUAUGAUUAAAAAAUAUGAAAGAAAAGAAAAACUUUAGAAACUACCCACUACCCAAAACCGCCGCCCCACCCUUUUCCCCUUCCCCCAAAUUCCAUUCUUCUCUCUGUAAUUACUCUUGUGACUCUUGUCAGGCCAUAGAAAUUUUCCCUCACACAGUGAGUUCUUCCACUGCCAUUCUUCUCACUAUCUCACCAUCAUCAGAUGCUUCUUCGAGUAAUUACAUAACUCUUCAUAGUUAUUUUUGAAAAAGGCAUGAUUAAUUGCACGAGAGAGAGAGAGACAUGUGUAAAAAUUGAUGAUGCAGACGGUUGGUGCCGCCGGCGAUGGAGAUGCUAGCGGCUUGAGAUCGGUGCAACAGAGAGGGUGGCGGAGGAAUUGCAUUGGGAUGCUGGAGGCGACGGGAAUCGUUUUGGGUUUUGGGGGGUCGGGGGGGGGGGGGUUUGAAACUUUUUGAUACUCCCUCCGUCCCAUUAAAGUUGCAACAUUUCUAUUUUAGGUGUCCCACUAAAGUUGGCCACUUUCUAAAAAUGGCAAAAGUUUACUUUAAUUAAGUCAACAAUUACUCACUAAUUUGGUCAACAAUUGUAGGCCACUUUCUAAAAAUGCCAAAAUUACUUUAAUUAAGUCAACAAUUACUCACUAAUUUGGUCAACAAUUGUAGGCCACACUCUAUUAAAAUAUAUAACACUCAAUUUCUUAAUCUCCGUGCCGAAACGAAUGUUGCCAACUUUAGCGGGACGGAGGGAGUAUAUUUUUUUCAAAUUUCAGUUUUUAUAAUUUAAAUUUCAGGCUUUUAAAUUCUUGUUAAAAGUCUGAAACGAAUACCUCUACAUUUUCAUAGACUUUUAAAAGUCUUGAACGAAUACACCCAAAUUUUAAAAGUCUGCAGAAAUCUAUUAAAAUCCUGAACGAAUACACCCCCUUUAAUAUCUUUUUAUUUUUAUGGUUAUUAUUAACUUUUUGUUAAAUAAAAUGGUUAAUUAGAGAUAUUAACACUAAAUUAUACUAUGCACAUAUAUAUGUCUAAUAAACCUAUCGUAGAAACUAGGAACAAUGCUACUUUUUUCAGAACUUUGGAGCAGUGCUUUUUUAUAUGUACAAACAAUCAUUAAAAGUUGAUACAUGUCCCACUUCAAAAUUUCUCUUUUUCGUUGUUGUUGUUUUUUAUUUUUAUUUUUAGGGAACCUUCAAAAUUCUUGAAAGAAAAAGUUUGUGUAAUUAAUACAUGCAGAACCUAGUACUUGGAGGCACGGAUACAUCGGCUGCAACAAUCGAAUGGGCUUUACACGAAGUAAUGAGACAACCGCACAUAGUUGAGAGGGCGAAAGAGGAGUUAAACACCGUGAUUGGAAGAGAGAGAUGGGUGGAAGAGAACGACUUGGCUCAAUUACCAUACAUAGAUGCAAUCAUCAUGGAAACCUUCCGACUACAUCCAAUUGCUACACUCUUAGCCCCUCGUUAUGCAACUGAUGAAUGUGAAGUUGCAGGCUACAACAUAUCAAAGGGGACGACGGUCCUCAUUAAUGCGUGGAGCAUAGGGAGACACCCUAUCUCGUGGGAUACACCUCAAGCGUUCUUGCCGGAUAGGUUUAUGGGAACAAAGAUGGAUAUGAUAAAUGGAAGGCAUUUCGCUCUUCUGCCAUUUGGCUCGGGCAGGCGGGGAUGCCCCGGCUACGAUCUCGGACUCAAGAUUGUUCGACUAACAUUGGCUAAUUUGUUGCACGGGUUUCAGCUGAAAUUCGACGAUCCUCAAGGUAUAUGCUUGGAGGAAGAAUAUGGACUCUCAACACAUCCUAAACACCCUCUUACAAUCAUCUUCACACCUACACUUCC